This 301-nucleotide RNase P RNA is filed under the name Bifidobacterium sp. RNAcentral's name for it is "partial RNase P RNA component class A". It matches the Rfam family "Bacterial RNase P class A", at positions 66 to 367 of the family's 367-position model. From Rfam's summary of the family: Ribonuclease P (RNase P) is a ubiquitous endoribonuclease, found in archaea, bacteria and eukarya as well as chloroplasts and mitochondria. Its best characterised activity is the generation of mature 5'-ends of tRNAs by cleaving the 5'-leader elements of precursor-tRNAs. Cellular RNase Ps are ribonucleoproteins. The record is from RNAcentral. Lineage: Bacteria; Bacillati; Actinomycetota; Actinomycetes; Bifidobacteriales; Bifidobacteriaceae.
GCACGAUGGCGGAUAACGUCCGCCCAGGGUGACCUGAGAGAUAGCGCAGCAGAGAACAGACCGCCCGCCCGCAAGGGCAGGCAAGGGUGAAACGGCGGUGUAAGAGACCACCGGGCCACUGGCAACAGACGGUCGCAUGGCAAGCCUCAUCGGGAGCAAGGCCAAGCAGAAGACGUUCGAGGACUGCCCGUCCGAUGUCUUCGGGUAGGCUGCUAGAGCCUGACGGCAACGUCAGGUCGAGAUGGAUGGUCAUCCGUGCCGUUCGGCACGACAGAACCCGGGGUAUAAGAGGUCUCAUCUC